UGAGGAAUAUUGCUCAAUGGGCGCAAGCCUGAAGCAGCGACGCCGCGUGGACGAUGAAGGCUUUCGGGUCGUAAAGUCCUUUUUUAGGUGACGAGCAGGGACGGUAGCCUAAGAAUAAGUGUCGGCUAACUACGUGCCAGCAGCCGCGGUAAAACGUAGGACACGAGCGUUAUCCGGAGUUACUGGGCGUAAAGGGCGUUUAGGCGGGUGAUUAAGUUCGCUAUGAAAGCGCCAGGCUAAACCUGGCGAGGCUGGCGGAUACUGGUCAUCUGGAGUAGGUCAGAGGAAGGUAGAAUUCCGCGUGUAGUGGUGAAAUGCGUAGAGAUGCGGAGGAAUACCAGUGGCGAAGGCGGCCUUCUGGGACCUAACUGACGCUGAAGCGCAAAAGCAUGGGGAGCGAA
RNAcentral lists this ribosomal RNA (401 nucleotides) under uncultured bacterium. Its description in RNAcentral is "bacterial SSU rRNA". It matches the Rfam family "Bacterial small subunit ribosomal RNA", at positions 355 to 772 of the family's 1533-position model. The record is from RNAcentral.